GAUGAACGCUGGCGGCGUGCCUAAUACAUGCAAGUCGAGCGAACAGACGAGGAGCUUGCUCCUCUGACGUUAGCGGCGGACGGGUGAGUAACACGUGGAUAACCUACCUAUAAGACUGGGAUAACUUCGGGAAACCGGAGCUAAUACCGGAUAACAUGUUGAACCGCAUGGUUCAACAGUGAAAGACGGUCUUGCUGUCACUUAUAGAUGGAUCCGCGCCGCAUUAGCUAGUUGGUAAGGUAACGGCUUACCAAGGCAACGAUGCGUAGCCGACCUGAGAGGGUGAUCGGCCACACUGGAACUGAGACCCGGUCCAGACUCCUACGGGAGGCAGCAGUAGGGAAUCUUCCGCAAUGGGCGAAAGCCUGACGGAGCAACGCCGCGUGAGUGAAGAAGGUCUUCGGAUCGUAAAACUCUGUUAUUAGGGAAGAACAAAUGUGUAAGUAACUAUGCACGUCUUGACGGUACCUAAUCAGAAAGCCACGGCUAACUACGU
RNAcentral lists this ribosomal RNA (496 nucleotides) under uncultured bacterium. RNAcentral's name for it is "partial 16S ribosomal RNA". It matches the Rfam family "Bacterial small subunit ribosomal RNA", at positions 28 to 506 of the family's 1533-position model. The record is from RNAcentral.